RNAcentral lists this ribosomal RNA (256 nucleotides) under uncultured bacterium. RNAcentral describes it as "partial 16S ribosomal RNA". It matches the Rfam family "Bacterial small subunit ribosomal RNA", at positions 524 to 776 of the family's 1533-position model. The record is from RNAcentral.
UACGUAGGUGGCAAGCGUUGUCCGGAUUUACUGGGCGUAAAGAGCGCGCAGGCGGUCGAUCAAGUCGCGUGUGAAAGCCCCCGGCUCAACUGGGGAGGGUCACGCGAUACUGUUCGACUCGAAGGCAGGAGAGGGAAGUGGAAGUUCCCGGUGUUAGUGGUGAAAUGACGUAGAUAUCGGGAGGAACACCAGUGGCGAAGGCGACUUCCUGGCCUGUUCUUGACGCUGAGGCGCGAAAGCUAGGGUAGCAAACGGG